UUCUAAUGUGGCAGAAUAGUGUGAUGGAUUUAAACCCCGUUUAUAAAAUUUUAAUUUUCUUUAGA
RNAcentral lists this transfer RNA (65 nucleotides) under Ptilodactylidae sp. 3 ACP-2013. Its description in RNAcentral is "tRNA-Leu". Lineage: Eukaryota; Metazoa; Arthropoda; Insecta; Coleoptera; Ptilodactylidae. The record is from RNAcentral.